UACAGGGUGACAGCCCCGUACACAAAAGCGCAUGUGCUGUGAGCUCGAUGAGUAGGGCGGGACACGUGGUAUCCUGUCUGAAUAUGGGGGGACCAUCCUCCAAGGCUAAAUACUCCUGACUGACCGAUAGUGAACCAGUACCGUGAGGGAAAGGCGAAAAGAACCCCGGCGAGGGGAGUGAAAAAGAACCUGAAACCGUGUACGUACAAGCAGUGGGAGCCCCACCACUAAGCCAGUGGUGAACUCCACAUACGCAUCCUUUGCUGAGGAUACGGUUAACGGAGCGAAAGCGACGUUCAACCUCAAAAGAAGCAGAGGGGGCUUAGUGGUGGGGUGACUGCGUACCUUUUGUAUAAUGGGUCAGCGACUUAUAUUCUGUAGCAAGGUUAACCGAAUAGGGGAGCCGGAGGGAAACCGAGUCUUAACCGGGCGUUAAGUUGCAGGGUAUAGACCCGAAACCCGGUGAUCUAGCCAUGGGCAGGUUGAAGGUUGGGUAACACUAACUGGAGGACCGAACCGACUAAUGUUGAAAAAUUAGCGGAUGACCUGUGGCUGGGGGUGAAAGGCCAAUCAAACCGGGAGAUAGCUGGUUCUCCCCGAAAGCUAUUUAGGUAGCGCCUCGUGAAUUCAUCUCCGGGGGUAGAGCACUGUUUCGGCUAGGGGGCCAUCCCGGCUUACCAACCCGAUGCAAACUGCGAAUACCGGAGAAUGUUAUCACGGGAGACACACGGCGGGUGCUAACGUCCGUCGUGAAGAGGGAAACAACCCAGACCGCCAGCUAAGGUCCCAAAGUCAUGGUUAAGUGGGAAACGAUGUGGGAAGGCCCAGACAGCCAGGAUGUUGGCUUAGAAGCAGCCAUCAUUUAAAGAAAGCGUAAUAGCUCACUGGUCGAGUCGGCCUGCGCGGAAGAUGUAACGGGGCUAAACCAUGCACCGAAGCUGCGGCAGCGACGCUUAUGCGUUGUUGGGUAGGGGAGCGUUCUGUAAGCCUGUGAAGGUGGCCUGUGAGGGUUGCUGGAGGUAUCAGAAGUGCGAAUGCUGACAUAAGUAACGAUAAAGCGGGUGAAAAGCCCGCUCGCCGGAAGACCAAGGGUUCCUGUCCAACGUUAAUCGGGGCAGGGUGAGUCGACCCCUAAGGCGAGGCCGAAAGGCGUAGUCGAUGGGAAACGGGUUAAUAUUCCCGUACUUGGUGUUACUGCGAAGGGGGGACGGAGAAGGCUAUGUUGGCCGGGCGACGGUUGUCCCGGUUUAAGCGUGUAGGUGUGUGUUCCAGGUAAAUCCGGUUCACUUUAACACUGAGGCGUGAUGACGAGGCACUACGGUGCUGAAGCAACAAAUGCCCUGCUUCCAGGAAAAGCCUCUAAGCAUCAGGUAACAUCAAAUCGUACCCCAAACCGACACAGGUGGUCAGGUAGAGAAUACCAAGGCGCUUGAGAGAACUCGGGUGAAGGAACUAGGCAAAAUGGUGCCGUAACUUCGGGAGAAGGCACGCUGACACGUAGGUGAAGUGAUUUACUCA
RNAcentral lists this ribosomal RNA (1518 nucleotides) under Salmonella enterica. RNAcentral describes it as "partial 23S ribosomal RNA". It matches the Rfam family "Bacterial large subunit ribosomal RNA", at positions 358 to 1773 of the family's 2925-position model. Lineage: Bacteria; Pseudomonadati; Pseudomonadota; Gammaproteobacteria; Enterobacterales; Enterobacteriaceae. The record is from RNAcentral.